UGCGGAAUUUUAGAUAAUGGAGGGAACUCUGAUCUAGCGACGCCGCGUGCAGGAAGAAGGUCUUCGGAUUGUAAACUGCUGUGGUAAGGGAAAAAUGCUAUGUAGAGUGGAAAGCUACAUAGAGGGAUGGUACCUAACUAGAAAGCCCCGGCUAACUACGUGCCAGCAGCCGCGGUAAUACGUAGGGGGCGAGCGUUACCCGGAAUCACUGGGUGUAAAGGGAGCGUAGGUGGCCUAACAUGACAACUGUGAAAACCCGGAGCUCAACUCCGGACUUGCAGUUGAAACUGGUAGGCUUGAGGACGGUAGAGGAAGACGGAACUGCCAGUGUAGGGGUAAAAUCCUUAGAUAUUGGCAGGAACGCCGGUGACGAAGGUGGUUUUCUGGGCCGGUUCUGACACUGAUGCUCGAAAGCCAGGGGAGCGAACGG
RNAcentral lists this ribosomal RNA (430 nucleotides) under uncultured bacterium. RNAcentral's name for it is "bacterial SSU rRNA". It matches the Rfam family "Bacterial small subunit ribosomal RNA", at positions 355 to 775 of the family's 1533-position model. The record is from RNAcentral.